Molecule: small nucleolar RNA, 119 nt
Organism: Lolium perenne
Lineage: Eukaryota; Viridiplantae; Streptophyta; Magnoliopsida; Poales; Poaceae
Product: small nucleolar RNA SNORD14
Source: RefSeq, a predicted model, not a curated record
UGGCAAUGAUGAUAAAUUUAAGGCUUGUUUCUCAAAAUAUUCUGAGUUGUUGCCUAAGAGCUUUCACUGCCAGGCUUGAGAGCUAAUGCUGCUUAUUCCUUCCUUGUAUGUGUUAGCAU